AGAGUCCAUAGCAAUUGAUUCACACCUAUAAUACUCAUCACAUUUAUUAAGAGUAACUGGUGUGUUUUACUUCACUGAUGGCCCACAAGAGGGAGAUCUCGAAUAACUCAGUAGUCAAAUACUCAGUGAGAAAAACAGCACCUGUGAUGCUGAGGAAGUUCUGGGCAGCAGGUAGGGACACCUCCCAUAGUCCUCUGAUAUGGAAGCCUAUUCCCUUACUACACAUUCCAGAAUUUAUCACAGAGCCCUGUGACAAACUGAAGAACGUUUCUAAGACAUACAGUUUAGGGUGGGGAUGCAGCUUAACUGAUGGAAUGCUUACCUGGCAUGCACAAGGCUUUGAGUUCAGUUCCCAGCACUGGAUGAAGCAGGCAUGGUGGAGCAUGAUUGUAACCCCAGCUCUCAAAAGGCAGAGAUAGGAUGAUCAGAGUUCAAGGCCAUUCUUAGCUACACAGCCAGCCAGGGCUACAUGAGAUUCUAUUUCUAAAAAAAAGGGAAGAAAAAACAAACAAAAAAACCAAUGUAACUAGACAAAUCUUAGCACCUAGGAAGCUAAUGCAGAGGGCUCAUGAUUUUAAGGCCAUUUUGGCCUAUAUAACGAAUUGAAGGCAGGCCUGCACACACUGAGACCCUGUUUCAGAUAACAAAACAAAGGUUUUAACUUUGUAGAGCUCAUAAUGAACAACAGCCAGGGAGAAGGGGGUCAAGAGCCUAGAUGUGCCAGAGACACAUGGUGUCACUGACAACUGUGCUGGGCACUGGAGUCAUUGCCCCUGGGGAUGGGCAAAGUACAGGGUCUUUGUCCUCCCAGCACGCAGAGACGCUUCUGCAGCCGUGGCUUCUUCUGGAACCAGAAACAGCAUGGCUGGAGACAAGCAGAGCUGUCAGAUCUGCAGUUAAAACCUGCUUUCCCUAAAGACUCAUGCCAUGCACGGUGGUUUUCAAGCUUUUCCACAACUCUUCCCACAGCUUACUAAUUCAUGUCCAUGCAGAUGGGAAGGAUUUUUAAAAAAUGGUCAGGGUCACAUAAGUGGAGAACAAUCUAUGCAAUAAUUAUUUCUUCAAACAAGAAGGAAACAUUCUUUCUGCAUGAUUGCUCAGUAGUGCUUCCCCUCUGAGGUCCAGGCUCUACUGUGUCCACAGCAAUCAUGUGGCCAGCGGCAAAUACCAUGCUUGCCUCAUCAUUGGCACAAAGAGUGUUUGUUAAACUAAUGACCAGAGUCCACUGGGGAUGCCUGGAUAAGCAAACUAUGGUGUAUCCACACAGUUGCAAUAGAGGAGAUCCUGACCCAUGCUCCAGCCAGGGUGAGCCCUAAGGACAUUAUGUUCAGUGAAAUGUGCCAGCCUCAAAAGGACAAAUCCUGUGUCCUUCUGCCUCUCCCAAGUCCCCACGCUUGUCAUCCAUAGCAACAGAAGGCAGGGCUGUGGACCAAUGGGUGAAGAAGCACUUGCUGACAAGCAAGAGGGCUUGUUUCAGAUUUCCAGAGCCCACGUGAACAAGCCAGGUGUGGUAGCAUGUGUCUGCAAUCCCAGGGUUCCUACAGCGAGAUCAGGGGAGCAGAGACAUGAGAACUCCCAGAAGCUCUCUGGGGAAUAUAGUUCGCAGGAAGGAAAUCAGAGAUUUGCAGCUGAGGCAGGAAUGGGUGUGGAUCCUGGUUCUACCACCUAUUAAUGGCAUGCCUGUGGGUUUCUUCUACACCCUUUCCCUGGAGAACUAUAUGAGUUUAACGUGUCCCUCCAAGAUUCAUGUCCACCAUGAAGCAGAGCCUUUGUAAUUUUGAUCAAGUAAAAGGGGGUUACACUGGACUCACAUGGGCCUAAUCCCAUGGCUGGUGAGGGAGGGUGACUUGGAUACAGGCACAGGGCAGAAUGCCCGUGGCAAUGGAGGCAGAGACUCGAGAGAUACAGCCGUGAGCCUAGGAAUUCAGUGCUGCAGAAGAUGGACCAGACGCUGGAGAGGCGAGGAAGGAUUCGGAGGGAGUGUGGUCCUCCUGACCCUGAACUUUGGACUUCUGGCUCCAGAACAGAGAGAGUAUCUAUCUGCUGUUGGAAGCAACCUGGCUUGUUUCAGCAGCCCUGGGAAACUCAUGACCUCGCCUCCUGCCUCUGCUUUGCAGCUUCUGAGGAUGGGUUGCUCCAGUCCACUGCUGGCAGUUUCCAAACCUCCCACUGCUACCCACCUACUAAAUAAAACCCAGAGUGAGUCAA
Peromyscus maniculatus bairdii (prairie deer mouse) is the source of this 2208-nucleotide non-coding RNA. The record is from RefSeq and is a predicted model, not a curated record. Lineage: Eukaryota; Metazoa; Chordata; Mammalia; Rodentia; Cricetidae.